GGUGCUGGCUAGGGGAGUAGAACACCUGUUUAGAUGAGGUGCUGGCUAGCGGAGUAGAACACCUGUUUAGGAGAGGUGCUGGCUAGCAGAGUAGAACACCUGGUUAGGAGAGGUGCUGGCUAGGGGAGUAGAACACCUGUUUAGGAGAGGUGCUGGCUAGCAGAGUAGAACACCUGUUUAGGAGAGGUGCUGGCUAGGGGAGGAGAACACCUGUUUAGGAGAGGUGCUGGCUAGCAGAGUAGAACACCUGUUUAGGAGAGGUGCUGGCUAGCGGAGUAGAACACCUGUAUAGGAGAGGUGCUGGCUAGUGGAGUAGAACACCUGUUUAGGAGAGGUGCUGGCUAGGGGAGGAGAACACCUGUUUAGGAGAGGUGCUGGCUAGGGGAGUAGAACACCUGUUUAGGAGAGGUGCUGGCUAGCAGAGUAGAACACCUGUUUAGGAGAGGUGCUGGCUAGGGGAGUAGAACACCUGUUUAGGAGAGGUGCUGGCUAGCAGAGUAGAACACCUGUUUAGGAGAGGUGCUGGCUAGGGGAGUAGAACACCUGUUUAGGAGAGGUGCUGGCUAGGGGAGUAGAACACCUGUUUAGGAGAGGUGCUGGCUAGGGGAGUAGAACACCUGUUUAGGAGAGGUGCUGGCUAGGGGAGUAGAACACCUGUUUAGGAGAGGUGCUGGCUAGGGGAGUAGAACACCUGUUUAGGAGAGGUGCUGGCUAGGGGAGUAGAACACCUGUUUAGGAGAGGUGCUGGCUAGCGGAGUAGAACACCUGUUUAGGAGAGGUGCUGGCUAGGGGAGUAGAACACCUGUUUAGGAGAGGUGCUGGCUAGCGGAGUAGAACACCUGUUUAGGAGAGGUGCUGGCUAGCGGAGUAGAACACCUGUUUAGGAGAGGUGCUGGCUAGCGGAGUAGAACACCUGUUUAGGAGAGGUGCUGGCUAGCGGAGUAGAACACCUGUUUAGGAGAGGUGCUGGCUAGCAGAGUAGAACACCUGUUUAGGAGAGGUGCUGGCUAGGGGAGUAGAACACCUGUUUAGGAGAGGUGCUGGCUAGCAGAGUAGAACACCUGUUUAGGAGAGGUGCUGGCUAGGGGAGUAGAACACCUGUUUAGGAGAGGUGCUGGCUAGCAGAGUAGAACACCUGUUUAGGAGAGGUGCUGGCUAGGGGAGGAGAACACCUGUUUAGGAGAGGUGCUGGCUAGGGGAGUAGAACACCUGUUUAGGAGAGGUGCUGGCUAGCGGAGUAGAACACCUGUUUAGGAGAGGUGCUGGCUAGCGGAGUAGAACACCUGUUUAGGAGAGGUGCUGGCUAGCGGAGUAGAACACCUGUUUAGGAGAGGUGCUGGCUAGCAGAGUAGAACACCUGUUUAGGAGAGGUGCUGGCUAGCAGAGUAGAACACCUGUUUAGGAGAGGUGCUGG
This is a long non-coding RNA of Oncorhynchus keta (chum salmon), 1414 nucleotides long. RefSeq lists it as uncharacterized. The transcript has 10 exons. Lineage: Eukaryota; Metazoa; Chordata; Actinopteri; Salmoniformes; Salmonidae. The record is from RefSeq and is a predicted model, not a curated record.